This 396-nucleotide ribosomal RNA is filed under the name uncultured bacterium. RNAcentral's name for it is "partial 16S ribosomal RNA". It matches the Rfam family "Bacterial small subunit ribosomal RNA", at positions 523 to 918 of the family's 1533-position model. The record is from RNAcentral.
AUACGUCGGUGGCAAGCGUUAUCCGGAUUUACUGGGUGUAAAGGGCGCGUAGGCGGGGGUGCAAGUCAGAUGUGAAAUCUAUGGGCUUAACUCAUAAACUGCAUUUGAAACUGUAUCUCUUGAGUGCUGGAGAGGUAGACGGAAUUCCUUGUGUAGUGGGUAAAUGCGUAGAUAUAAGGAAGAACACCAGUGGCGAAGGUGGUCUACUGGACAGUAACUGACGCUGAGGCGCGAAAGCGUGGGGAGCAAACAGGAUUAGAUACCCUGGUAGUCCACGCUGUAAACGAUGAUUACUAGGUGUGGGGGGACUGACCCCUUCCGUGCCGCAGUUAACACAAUAAGUAAUCCACCUGGGGAGUACGGCCGCAAGGUUGAAACUCAAAUGAAUUGGCGGGG